GAUGAACGCUGGCGGCGUGCCUAAUACAUGCAAGUCGAGCGAACGGACGAGAAGCUUGCUUCUCUGAUGUUAGCGGCGGACGGGUGAGUAACACGUGGAUAACCUACCUAUAAGACUGGGAUAACUUCGGGAAACCGGAGCUAAUACCGGAUAAUAUUUUGAACCGCAUGGUUCAAAAGUGAAAGACGGUCUUGCUGUCACUUAUAGAUGGAUCCGCGCUGCAUUAGCUAGUUGGUAAGGUAACGGCUUACCAAGGCAACGAUGCAUAGCCGACCUGAGAGGGUGAUUGGCCACACGGGAACUGAGACACGGUCCAGACUCCUACGGGAGGCAGCAGUAGGGAAUCUUCCGCAAUGGGCGAAAGCCUGACGGAGCAACGCCGCGUGAGUGAUGAAGGUCUUCGGAUCGUAAAACUCUGUUAUUAGGGAAGAACAUAUGUGUAAGUAACUGUGCACAUCUUGACGGUACCUAAUCAGAAAGCCACGGCUAACUACGUG
Molecule: ribosomal RNA, 497 nt
Filed under: uncultured bacterium
Lineage: Bacteria
Description: partial 16S ribosomal RNA
Rfam family: Bacterial small subunit ribosomal RNA
Source: RNAcentral